This 253-nucleotide ribosomal RNA is filed under the name uncultured bacterium. RNAcentral's name for it is "partial 16S ribosomal RNA". It matches the Rfam family "Bacterial small subunit ribosomal RNA", at positions 524 to 776 of the family's 1533-position model. The record is from RNAcentral.
UACGUAGGGUGCGAGCGUUAAUCGGAAUUACUGGGCGUAAAGCGUGCGCAGGCGGCUUGCCAAGUCAGAUGUGAAAGCCCCGGGCUCAACCCGGGAACUGCGUUUGAAACUGGCAGGCUAGAGUUUGGCAGAGGGGGGUGGAAUUCCACGUGUAGCAGUGAAAUGCGUAGAGAUGUGGAGGAACACCGAUGGCGAAGGCAGCCCCCUGGGCCAAAACUGACGCUCAGGCACGAAAGCCAGGGGAGCAAACGGG